Vidua chalybeata is the source of this 900-nucleotide long non-coding RNA. RefSeq lists it as uncharacterized. NCBI's taxonomy places the organism in Eukaryota, Metazoa, Chordata, Aves, Passeriformes, Viduidae. The record is from RefSeq and is a predicted model, not a curated record. The transcript has 3 exons.
UCCCCCUGACAAAAGAAAGACAUGCUCCUUGUCAGUAAAAGAGGAGCUGGAGGUAGAAAUGAGUUUGGUUCUUCAGCCAGAACCUCCAUUGUUUGGGACAUAUUUUAUUAUUUGAAUUCAAAGUCUGGAAUAAGCUCAGACUUUUUGUAUUACUCAUAUGAGUUAUUAUUAGUACUCUUAUUGCUUGUGUGAGUUUUUAUGUGAAAUGCAUGUUCCUAAUCUUUAGUUUUCUCUGACAGUCAUUCCCUCAGAGAUGGAUAGCAACCAAGACCUUCCCUCUGGUCCAUACUGCUUACUGUUCAUCGUCAGGUUUCCAGACUAUGACUAGUCCUGCUGGAGUUAUACUUGGCCUGGACUGCAGCUUGGCUUCCAAGCCUCACUCCUUGUAGAUGGAAAGGAACCUUAAGCACAGGAUGGUUGCUGGCUGGUCCCAGUGCAGAAGUUGUAGCUGACCUGUAGUAGGUGACAGCUGAAGAAAUGGAUUGAUGGCAACUUCAGAAAGCUGGACAAAGGGAAAUGCAAAUCCCUGUGCCAUGGGUGGGACAGGAUGGAUGCAGAGAAAGAUGCUUGGGCAAGGAGUACCAGCAGGUGGGCUCUCCUGGGAGGCUCAAGCUGACAGGGUAUGGGCACACAGCUUGGAAAGGGGAUGCUGCUUUGAGGCAAAAAAAUGCACAUUUGGUCCUUUGGAUGGUGGACUGAACCAGGAACAGGUUGCCCAGAGAGGCCAUGGAAUCUCCAUCCCAGAUUGUUCUGCUCCUGCUAGCCCUGGCUGUGUGUGGGGUGGGCUGGAGCCUGACUGAGGUCCAGGCUGACCCACUCCACUGCUGCCUGAAGUACAGACAGAGCUCACCAUGGCACCACUACUUAUUUCCACUAUUUUUCUCCUCUGAGAGUUUAUCC